GCCCCUCAGGUCCUGAAUGACCGGAAAUGGCCCCAACCUAUGAUUGAGUGAGGCUGAAAGGGCUGCUUUUAGCUCCAGCUGUUUUCUUUUAAAAUCUUAGGAUGGAACUCAGGCCUCGAGGCUGAGCCUAUUUUUAAAGUAAAACUUCCUCCGUAGGAAAGGAUGUACUCUGCUCAGGGUACGUUGUAACACCUAAAGUCUCACUUCCACUCCACGGAGCGUGAACAGCCAAAAGGGCCUUCACCAUGCUGAGUCCUAUAGCCCAACGACGGCUCCGGAUGCAAGACCCAGGGCCUUACUUCCGGGAGCCUUGAACACCCCAAAAGGCCUCCAAGAUGUUGGGACCUAACUCAGUGAGGCUCCGGAAGCUCGACAAGAACACACCAGGUCCAGGAAGGAUAAAGACAAUCCAAGAAAGGGAGACCCAUUGUGAAGUUAUCCAACCAGAAAUGCACAGAGAGCCCAUGGAUCAUCCCAGAGAACCUUACAGAUAGCAGCCAGGCUUCUGGGAUCAGGGAGAGGCUCCAGGCUUUCCGGUGAGUAACAGAGGGAGGCUUGUAGUCCUAUCUCAUACCCUCAGAUGCCAUAAUCACCCUGUAUCUCAAUCCACACUCUCUGACUCUUGCUGUCUGAUUUAAUUCAUCUUGAAGAAUUUAUUAAUGCAGUAUGUUUGAGCAUGUCUAUGUGUAAAUGCCUGUGUGUCUGUAGGCUGUCAGAGCCUUCCCCGCCCCCCAAAAAAUGCUGCUGUCUAGAAGGCUCUGACUGCAAGGAGACCAAGAGGGGAUAGGUCAUCACUGAGGCCAACACGAAGAGUUUGGUUUGUCCACAAAAACACGCCUUGUGGUUUGCCCCACAAUCCACUGUGGGUUCAGUACUGUGUAACUUCUUACUCCCCCCUUAGAGUUUUUGCCUCUCCUUCCCUCACUCCACCCUCCCUCCCCG
Molecule: long non-coding RNA, 942 nt
Filed under: Fukomys damarensis (Damara mole-rat)
Lineage: Eukaryota; Metazoa; Chordata; Mammalia; Rodentia; Bathyergidae
Description: lncRNA (ENSFDAG00000024451.1)
Source: RNAcentral